Non-coding RNA from Meleagris gallopavo (turkey), 3507 nucleotides. NCBI's taxonomy places the organism in Eukaryota, Metazoa, Chordata, Aves, Galliformes, Phasianidae. The record is from RefSeq and is a predicted model, not a curated record.
AUGAAGUAGCACUAGAUGCUGUUGAUUAGGACACCUGUUUCUUAAAGCCCUGCUGGGGCGUGGAAGCCAUUUGCUCCUGUUGUGUUUCCAAGCCUAAGAAGAUCCACGACUUGUGUGAGUGGGUACUUGAAGUGGGUGCUUUCAGCAUAGAAACCUAUUUCCUCAUUAUGGGUCACGGAUAAUAAAUUUGGGAAUGCUGUUGAGAGUGGAGAAUGCAGAGGGAAAGGCUUUUAGUAAAACCAAGAGUUGGCUUGAAGAUCAGAAGGCUUCUCAGAAGGAGAAACAGGAUGUCAGAGCAAGCCGAAGGCAAACUUCCAAGUGAUGAGAUUUCUCCCUUCCCUGCUGCUAUCAGAGCUGCAUUCUGGAGGUGCUGCCUGAGAAGAUCUCAGUGGAAACGUAAUCAAGUCAUUCCAGACUUCAAGUAGAAUGAAGAAGAAGAAAUGAGAAAUCUAGUCUUCUAACCUGGGGAACAGCACCUGAGUUAUGAGGGAUUAGAAUAUUUGUGAAGAGAAGAAACAAACAAAUUUAGAGCCAAACACUGCGCAGUUUCACGAACUCUACGAGAGUCAGUGCCAGUGCAACGAUGCUCCUUUUGAUGGCUUGGAACUGGAGCACUACUAUCCCAUUUCCUCAGAAUACGAAUUUAUGGCAGCAUCAACUAUAGUUGCCUGAAUAUUUGAUUAAAAAAUUAAAGGGAGAAUUAACAAUUGCAACUUGGAGGUGAUCUUCAAAUUCUCAGGACUUCAGCUCUUGCAUUUGAACUUCGAACUGUGGAUCCUGAAGUAAAUUGCUGCCAGGUAACUGCUAAGUAGUGUCCAGCAGGUACUUCUCAGAUGCAUCUUGUUUAUGUACUAUUUAUAUCCUUUUGUAAUUAAACAUAGAAUUAAAAAUGGAAUGAUGUAGUUAUGCCUAUAGUUGGCCUGUUCUGGGCACAUGCUAUUACUGCUCUUUCCUUUGCUGUUCGUUCAUUCUCCUUCUUAACCUUUUUAUAAAUUCUGCCUGGAUUCAGAUCUCCGAAUUUGCUGUCCACGUAAAAGUUGGUACCAGAUCAGAAUUUAAGCAAGGGAGCCUGUGAAUAUGGAAUCUAUUUGGUGAAUAAAUUUCAGUUUUCAGUAAUUUCUUUAAUAAUUAGGAGGAAUAGUUAUUGUCUCUUUAAGGGCAUGUAAUUUGUAAUGUAUUUAUUUACUCUUUUGCUUAAUAUUUAUACCAUAAUUAAGUAAAAGAAGUUGAGGGCAUUCUAGGCAGAAGUGAGUUCUUGCACUUGUGCUAAGGAAACUCCCUUGGACUUGCUACAAUGCAGCCAAGGGGGAUGGCUUCCAGAAUGACCCAAGUUACAUUAUUAGAUGUGAGAUGGCACAAGUCUGGUGCCCUCUUCCCUUUCGAAGACUGUUGAAAGCACCUGGAGUGUCUUGUGGCACUUUGCCCCUUCAUCUCACUUUAAGAUAAAAUAUUCCUUUUCAAAAUGUCUUCUUAGCACUCAGCAGCUGUCAUCAUUAUUCCUUUUUUGUUUAUUAGGAGCGGAUUAUUCUAUUUACUAAAGGAGAUGUAAAGGUUGACACUCAUUUUAACUGUUUAGACAAUAAAUAUUGAACUUUCUGUUUUGCAUACAUGAGAUAACUAAAUGAGGCUGUGUUUUCAAGACAGGGAGAAGUAGGAGGCUUCCAUUUCCCUUCUGACUGCUUCUUUAGCAGUGUUAUUUCUUUUCAGUUAAACAAACAAAAAAUGCAAGCGAGAAAAACAACUACAGCGAAUAACACCCCAAACAUCACCUCACUUAUUUGUACCUGCUGUUGCUUGCCAUCAUUUUUAGUCUGUCAAUACGUAUAGAAAAUCAGGAAGUAGUCCUCCUCUUACUGCGAGAGUUCCUGCAUGUACCCAUUUCCCAGGGUCAUCAAAAAGAAUCCUCUUGUGUGAGUAAGGCUUGUAUUUAGUGAGUAUGAAUCUUCAUCAUAACCUUAUUACUUCCUGAAUUGUUUUUCAGUUGGUUGUUAUCCAUUAAUUUUGACAUUGUUUCUCAAGUCUUUUGAAUCUGCUUGUGGGAGGCCUCUGGUUUUGUUUUUGCCCGUCUCAUUUUUCACUCAGAAAUAGAAUGUGCCCUUUCUAGACUUCUAGAUGUAGUAGGGUUAGAAUAAAAGCAUCUGAAGGGAAUACACUCUGUGUAGGAAGAGCAGUUAAACUUCUACAUUAGGCUGGUUUUGGCAGCAGGAGAACCAUUUAAAUUGUUUUUGCUACUCCAUUUUCUUAUUAUGCCUCAUUUGGUGCCAGUUUGUUUGCUUCAUCUUUCAGAUUAUCUUGAAUUCUUUUUUUCCUGUUUACCAGCUGAACACGUUUCUUUGCAAAUAGAAUAUUCUUGCACUCAUGUCAAUGACUCUUGAAUUUUCAAAGUGCCUAUUAGAAGUUGCUUUCAGCUUAAGAGGUCACAACAAUAUCACAGAUGCACAGAUUGCUACCCGAUUAAUACAAUUAUCAACAUGCAGAAAUUAUGAGUUGAGUGUUUGCAUUUGAAUAUAGCUUUUAUUUUAAUGCACAGUUUGAAAAGCUUAUUUUAAGGAGGCAAGUUUGAAUUGGAAAUGUUUCCAAGAAAUGAUUUAUGUCUUUUGUGUGGAUCAAAGCAGCAGAAACCAUUUAACAAUUUGUCUGUCUUUAAUGAAAUCUAAUGGAUUUUCUGCAUUUCUCUAAAUACAAUAAGUUGACAUAAGUCUAUUAUUUGUUUUUAAUGCUGUAAAAGCUGGUGUUAUAUUACUUAGUGUUUUUAAAACUUCAACAAUAAAGAUUUUUAUUAUGUUACAUAUACAAGCAAUUAUAUUUGACAGUUUGGAUGCAAACUUGAAUUGGCAGCCACUUUAGUAUUCUCACCAAGAAAAACAUUAGGCUUGUCUAUUAAAUAUGUUUCUUCUGUAAUUUAUUUUUCAUAAGGUUCAGCGUUGUCACAGAAGCCUCUUGUCUCUUUUGUAGCUAACUUUCUGCAGACUUCUUUAAACUUAAGUGGAGGAACACCUUUUUGGGUUAGCUUGCCCCAAGAGAAAGCUCAAGUUCCAUUGAUAUCAGGAAAGAGCUAGAAUUGGACAGGAGCUUUGUGAAGAUCUGUACCAUGUAUUAAAAAUUUGAUAUAAAAAAGCAUAAUGUAGUCCUAAUGGAAGAAUUUGAGCUCUCUAUAGCUGUGCCAAUGGAAACCUGCUCCGUUCUUUCUUUCUGCUUCUUGAGUGAAGUGACUCUAACAGCCAGUUUGGCAGGGUUGUGGUUAAGCAGUUCAAUAAAUUUAUUUUUCCGUGUUUCAUUUGUUUACUGCUGUCUAACAAUGAAAGUGGGAGAUAUAGAAGGAGAUGUUCCCAGCAGUGUCACAGAGGUUGGAACUAGGUGAUCUUCAGGGUCCCUUCCAACCCAUCCUAUGCCAUUCUAUGAUUCUAGUGUAGGAAACAUUUAUUCCAAUACUUUGUGGAACAAUGUAAAGUUCAGUGUGCAACCAGCUUAUAUACGCAAGUAUGUAAUGAUGAUCUAAAUGUUACU